Molecule: long non-coding RNA, 416 nt
Organism: Heterocephalus glaber (naked mole-rat)
Lineage: Eukaryota; Metazoa; Chordata; Mammalia; Rodentia; Bathyergidae
Source: Ensembl
GUCAAUGAAGCCUCCAACAAAAUGAACCAAAUCUAAACCAUAACAGUCCUUCAGCCUUCCACCACCCUUCCUGUCCCUUCAGUGCUGGCCCAUCCUUGGAGCUGGGCUAGAUGACCGACUUCCACCAUGAAGGGGAAGCUGCCUACCUAGGAAGCAAAGAGAGAUGGAAAUGAAGACCACGACUGAGGACCAAGCUUUCAACACAUGGGCCAUUAGGGGACAGCUGGUUUUAACCUCAACAUAAAACAGGGGCCCUUUCCCCAGAGCCCCUUCCACUUCCCACCUGCCUCUUCCCACAGUUCCUCCUCCUGAGGUCCUGACCAUCUUCAGAGAUUUAAACAUUUAAAGAGUAGUAAAGGAAGAGGUGAUUAAGACCCAGACUCACACAGGUGACCGUGUGAAGACACAAGGAGAAG